This 431-nucleotide long non-coding RNA is filed under the name Gallus gallus (chicken). Lineage: Eukaryota; Metazoa; Chordata; Aves; Galliformes; Phasianidae. The record is from RNAcentral.
CUGGAAUGUUCCUGCCAUUUGGUUUGAGUUCGUGCUGUAAAAUCCUCCCAAAAGCAUUGUGUUCCACACAAAAAGUAUGGUCCAGAACCGGGGUGAUAUCGUUCUCUAGAAUCCAAACUAAACUUUUGUGUAGUUCUGGGUCAACAGAUUCCAGAUCAGAGAGCUGAAUGGGUUUCCCCAGGAGCUGUUUAUAAAAGGGAACCGUGAACCCCCCAUUGAUAUAGUGUCCAUGGAACACAGCCAAACCCAUUAUUCGCCCAACAAAAUGGAAAUAAGACAAAUGGUCAGGAUUGAUAGAGGAGUCUGGAUUGAUUUGCAGCAUGUAAAUAUUAUCUGUAGAGUACUGGAAGAGUCCAUAGUAUGGAUUCAACAUUUCAUGGCACAGUAAAUACAACCAUUCUCUUGCUACCCCUCCAUAAUCCAGGCCUUCC